GAUGAAGAACGUAGCGAAAUGCGAUACUUGGUGUGAAUUGCAGAAUCCCGUGAACCAUCGAGUCUUUGAACGCAAGUUGCGCCCGAAGCCAUUAGGCCGAGGGCACGCCUGCCUGGGUGUCACACGUCGUUGCCCCCCCAUCUACUCCUUCGGGAUUGCGGGGGGCGGAUGAUGGCCUCCCGUGCGCCUCGUCGCGCGGUUGGCAUAAAUGCCAAGUCCUCGGCGACGCACGCCACGACAAUCGGUGGUUGCGAAACCUCGGUUGCCCGUCGUGUGCGGUCGUCGCGCAUCGAGGGCUCGAAAAAAUUGCCGGGCUCCGGCUCGGUUUUCAACGCGACCCCAGGUCAGGCGGGGUUACCCGCUGAAUUUAAGCAUAUCAAUAAGCGGAGGA
Molecule: unclassified non-coding RNA, 391 nt
Filed under: soil metagenome
Description: partial contains 5.8S ribosomal RNA, internal transcribed spacer 2, and large subunit ribosomal RNA
Rfam family: 5.8S ribosomal RNA (bases 1-122)
Source: RNAcentral